RNAcentral lists this transfer RNA (84 nucleotides) under Muribaculaceae bacterium. RNAcentral describes it as "tRNA-Leu". It matches the Rfam family "tRNA". Rfam says of the family: Transfer RNA (tRNA) molecules are approximately 80 nucleotides in length. Their secondary structure includes four short double-helical elements and three loops (D, anti-codon, and T loops). The record is from RNAcentral. Lineage: Bacteria; Pseudomonadati; Bacteroidota; Bacteroidia; Bacteroidales; Muribaculaceae.
GCCCGAAUGGUGGAAUGGUAGACACGAGGGACUUAAAAUCCCUUGGCUAUAGCAGCCGUGCGGGUUCGAGUCCCGCUUCGGGCA